Molecule: ribosomal RNA, 425 nt
Filed under: uncultured bacterium
Lineage: Bacteria
Description: partial 16S ribosomal RNA
Rfam family: Bacterial small subunit ribosomal RNA
Source: RNAcentral
GUGGGGAAUAUUGGGCAAUGGGGGCAACCCUGACCCAGCAACGCCGCGUGAAGGAAGAAGGUUUUCGGAUCGUAAACUUCUAUCCUUGGUGAAGAUAAUGACGGUAGCCAAGAAGGAAGCCCCGGCUAACUACGUGCCAGCAGCCGCGGUAAUACGUAGGGGGCAAGCGUUGUCCGGAAUGAUUGGGCGUAAAGGGCGCGUAGGCGGCCUGGUAAGUCUGGAGUGAAAGUCCUGCUUUUAAGGUGGGAAUUGCUUUGGAUACUGUCGGGCUUGAGUGCAGGAGAGGUAAGCGGAAUUCCCGGUGUAGCGGUGAAAUGCGUAGAGAUCGGGAGGAACACCAGUGGCGAAGGCGGCUUACUGGACUGUAACUGACGCUGAGGCGCGAAAGUGUGGGGAGCAAACAGGAUUAGAAACCCGAGUAGUCC